GAUGAACGCUGGCGGUAUGCUUAACACAUGCAAGUCGAACGGACUCUUCGGAGUUAGUGGCGGACGGGUGAGUAACGCGUGAGAAUCUGGCUUUGGGUUCGGGACAACCACUGGAAACGGUGGCUAAUACCGGAUGUGCCGAGAGGUAAAAGAGAAAUUGCCUGAAGAUGAGCUCGCGUCUGAUUAGCUAGUUGGUGAGGUAAAGGCUCACCAAGGCAGCGAUCAGUAGCUGGUCUGAGAGGAUGACCAGCCACACUGAGACUGAGACACGGCCCAGACUCCUACGGGAGGCAGCAGUGGGGAAUUUUCCGCAAUGGGCGAAAGCCUGACGGAGCAAUACCGCGUGAGGGAAGAAGGCUCUUGGGUUGUAAACCUCUUUUCUUAGGGAAGAACAAAAUGACGGUACCUAAGGAAUCAGCAUCGGCUAACUCCGUG
This 435-nucleotide ribosomal RNA is filed under the name uncultured bacterium. RNAcentral describes it as "partial 16S ribosomal RNA". It matches the Rfam family "Bacterial small subunit ribosomal RNA", at positions 28 to 507 of the family's 1533-position model. The record is from RNAcentral.